AUUGAACGCUGGCGGCAUGCCUUACACAUGCAAGUCGAACGGCAGCGGGCCUUCGGGUGCCGGCGAGUGGCGAACGGGUGAGUAAUGCAUCGGAACGUGCCAUUGAGUGGGGGAUAACGUAGCGAAAGUUACGCUAAUACCGCAUAUUCUGUGAGCAGGAAAGCAGGGGACCGCAAGGCCUUGCGCUCUUUGAGCGGCCGAUGUCAGAUUAGCUAGUUGGUGAGGUAAAGGCUUACCAAGGCGACGAUCUGUAGCGGGUCUGAGAGGAUGAUCCGCCACACUGGAACUGAGACACGGUCCAGACUCCUACGGGAGGCAGCAGUGGGGAAUUUUGGACAAUGGGCGCAAGCCUGAUCCAGCCAUGCCGCGUGAGUGAAGAAGGCCUUCGGGUUGUAAAGCUCUUUCGGGAGGGAAGAAGGCGCAAGCCUGACGGUACCUCGCAAGAAAGCACCGGCUAACUCUGUGCCAGCAGCCGCGGUAAU
Molecule: ribosomal RNA, 482 nt
Filed under: uncultured bacterium
Lineage: Bacteria
Description: bacterial SSU rRNA
Rfam family: Bacterial small subunit ribosomal RNA
Source: RNAcentral